This 253-nucleotide ribosomal RNA is filed under the name uncultured bacterium. Its description in RNAcentral is "partial 16S ribosomal RNA". It matches the Rfam family "Bacterial small subunit ribosomal RNA", at positions 524 to 776 of the family's 1533-position model. The record is from RNAcentral.
UACGAAGGGGGCUAGCGUUAUUCGGAAUCACUGGGCGUAAAGGGCGCGUAGGCGGCUGUUCAAGUCGGGGGCGAAAUCCCGUGGCUCAACCACGGAAUGGCCUUCGAUACUGGACGGCUGGAGACCGGAAGAGGUGAGUGGAACUGCGAGUGUAGAGGUGAAAUUCGUAGAUAUUCGCAAGAACACCAGUGGCGAAGGCGGCUCACUGGUCCGGUUCUGACGCUGAGGCGCGAAAGCGUGGGGAGCAAACAGG